UACGUAGGUGGCAAGCGCUAUCCGGAUUUACUGGGUGUAAAGGGCGUGUAGGCGGGACUGCAAGUCAGAUGUGAAAACCACGGGCUCAACCUGUGGCCUGCAUUUGAAACUGUAGUUCUUGAGUACUGGAGAGGCAGACGGAAUUCCUAGUGUAGCGGUGAAAUGCGUAGAUAUUAGGAGGAACACCAGUGGCGAAGGCGGCUUGCUGGACGAAAACUGACGUUGAGGCUCGAAAGCGUGGGGAGCAAACAGG
RNAcentral lists this ribosomal RNA (253 nucleotides) under uncultured bacterium. Its description in RNAcentral is "partial 16S ribosomal RNA". It matches the Rfam family "Bacterial small subunit ribosomal RNA", at positions 524 to 776 of the family's 1533-position model. The record is from RNAcentral.